This 844-nucleotide ribosomal RNA is filed under the name Clostridioides difficile. Its description in RNAcentral is "partial 23S ribosomal RNA". It matches the Rfam family "Bacterial large subunit ribosomal RNA", at positions 1247 to 2101 of the family's 2925-position model. Lineage: Bacteria; Bacillati; Bacillota; Clostridia; Peptostreptococcales; Peptostreptococcaceae. The record is from RNAcentral.
GGGUUGAAGCAUGACCGUAAGGACAUGUGGACAGUAUGGGAGUGAGAAUGUUGGCAUGAGUAGCGAGAUGUGGGUGAGAAUCCCACAGGCCGUAAACCCAAGGUUUCCAGGGGAAGGUUCGUCCGCCCUGGGUUAGUCGGGACCUAAGCUGAGGCCGAAAGGCGUAGGUGAUGGACAACAGGUUGAUAUUCCUGUACUACCGAUAACCGUUUGAGAGAAGGGAUGACACAGUAGGAUAAGCUAAGCACACUGUUGGUUAUGUGUGCCCAAGCAUUGAGGCAGUCAAAGUAGGCAAAUCCGCUUUGAUAAUGCUGGGAUGUGAUGGGGAGCGAAAUUUAGUAGCGAAGUAGCUGAUUUCACACUGUCAAGAAAAGUCUCUAUCGAGGUUAAAGGUACCCGUACCGCAAACCGACACAGGUGGGUGAGGAGAGUAUCCUAAGGCCAGCGAGAGAACUGUUGUUAAGGAACUCGGCAAAAUGACCCCGUAACUUAGGGAUAAGGGGUGCCACCAUCAGGUGGCCGCAGAGAAUAGGCCCAAGCGACUGUUUACCAAAAACAUAGGUUUCUGCUAAGUCGCAAGACGAUGUAUAGGAGCUGACGCCUGCCCGGUGCUGGAAGGUUAAGGGGAUCUGUUAGAGCAAUCGAAGCAGUGAACUUAAGCCCCAGUAAACGGCGGCCGUAACUAUAACGGUCCUAAGGUAGCGAAAUUCCUUGUCGGGUAAGUUCCGACCCGCACGAAAGGCGUAACGAUUUGGGCACUGUCUCAACAACAGACUCGGUGAAAUUGUAAUUCCGGUGAAGAUGCCGGAUACCUGCGACAGGACGGAAAGACCCCAUGGAGCUU